GGAGCCCAACUUCAACGGCUGGCAAAAUCAUCAUACAAGGUUGAAGCCCAAGCUGCUGGUAUGCUAUCUUUUAUAUUUUAGAAAAUCACCAAAAAGCAACUUCUGAUAAAUAAUACCAUCAUAGAAAAAUAUUCAUAUUUUUCCCGUGCACAAGUCAUAUUUUAAACACUUAAAGAAAAUUUAACACAAUUUGCUCUCUUGUCUUUUUUUAAUUAUUGUUCUUUUUCUUCUUCUUUAAAAUAGGAUUUCCUUCUAUACUUCUCCCUUGAAUGAAUGGUCAUUUUGGUCCGUGAAAAAAAUUGAUCGACGUUUAAAUUGUCCAAAUCUGACGUCAGGAUUAACUUGAUUACACAUUCAAAAACUUGUUAACGUAUUUUCUUCUUUCAGAGACUAAGUUGAUUAUUCACUCUUCUCCCUUUCAUAUUUGUUUGGGAAUGUGUAAUGAUAUCUAUGGAUGUCGUUUUGGAAUUUACUUCGUCUUAUCAUGCUGUAGAUUUAAUAGACAGGCUGCGGCAUAUACCUAGUCGUGAAGCACUGACACUUCGAGCUGAGGCAAGGCUAUGACUUUAUCUGUUUUUCUGUGUUUCCCAUAAGUCCAGUUAUGUUACAUUACUUACUGUUUGUUUGCUUUGUCUCCACUACAAACACGUGAUCAGGUUGCCUCUUUGGCUUCAACAUUGAAGCGGCAGAGAUCUGCGAUGGAUAAACGGAUAAUGAAGAUCUCCGAGUUAGGGAUUGCUGUGUGAAGUUUUGGACCUUCUCAAUAUGCACACCCAUCUUAGUCAUACUCAUUUUCUUGAAUAAAUGUUGGGGCAUCCGCAUACAACUAUAUACUUGUAAUGCAGACCCAUCUACUGGGCGGAUUUUUUUUUUCUUUAGUAAAUUCAGUGAAUAGGUGUAACUGGAAAAUGUUUUUUUUUUUUUUUUUUUUACUUUAGUAAAUUCAGCAAAUGAGUACACGAUAAAAUGCCACACUUACAUGAGAAUACACAUCAUUAAUAUGGCAAAUAUGCCAAUAAAAUACAUAUAUGAUGCAUCACAAGACUUACCUAAUGUUUAACUCAACAAAGACGAAACCAGGAUUUAUUUUUUCUCCUGGAACGUAAAUAUGAAUGUCAUUUAGGUAAGUAUAUGGGGCCUAUUUAUCAAUCUAGAUCUCCUUUAAACUCCUACAAGUACGUCCUAGACCAUUGUGCGAUAUUCAAGUAAGUAGGUAUACUUUUAAGUUAAUAUAUGUUUUUUGGAAUGUUUCUUGCUACCACCUCACAUCUAUCAUGUCACCUUUAAAUUUAAAAAAUCUGAAAAUACUCUUAAAUAUUAAAUAUGAUAGAGUUAUAUAUGUAUUUAAAUUUAUAAUUCUUGGAGUUGAAAUUUGGGUUCUCAUUCAAUAAUAGACUUAGCUUAUUUCCUCUGUAACCAAAAAAAAAAAAAGACUUAGCUUGCUUACUACACUAACACUUUAUUGAUUAUUCACACAACUCCUCUAAUCCAUGAUGCCUAUAAAAAAAAAAAACACAACUCCUCUAACUUGCACUAAAAACCCACAUUCAUUCAUGCUAUCUUUAAAUUUGAAAAUCCAAAAAUACCCUUACAAAAAUUUCUGCUCACACUUUUAAAAUGCGUUAUGUACGUACUUUGAAAGUUAUGCAUGCACUUUAAAGUGCAUUAUGUACGAACUUUAAAAUGUGAGCACACCGGUUAAUGUUAAGUUUGUAACUCUUGCAACUUGUGUAACUCUCAAUUUCUUAUAAACACAUGUUAAACAUUAUUUUUACUGUUAAUUUCUAUGCUUCAUCAGAUGCCAUAUAUAGGGGUUCAUGUGUCUCUCUUUCUCACACAAUUCUAUUAUGCUUUUCUACUAUGCUUUCUUUUAGUUUCUUCUUCCUUGGGUACAAUGUAUGAGGCUGGGUUCCUUGUAUUUCAUUCUCAACAUUAGCACGUAUGUCAUGUCUGAUGUUGGAUAUUCCGAUUCAGAUAUGCAAACGUGCUAUUGUAGGUGUUCAAUAUCCUUUUUCAGAUAUGACAAACGUUUGAGUAACGUGCGACUCAGCCCAUAAAUGUGAAAGUAGGGGUGCAACCCAAUGAAGAAAAUGAGUAAGUAAUUAAAAGUUGUAUGUGAAUAUUUUAUGUGGUUGUUAGAGUAUUUUCCAUAUCUUCUAUAUGGUUAUGGUGAAAUGUCAUAGUCAUAAUUUUUUUUACUAUUGAGUUUUCCCACUAUGCUUUGGAGUCUGCGUUCAAACUGAGUAGUCCGAUAACGAUCACAAUGUGGAUCUGGACACUUUUAAAGAGUCAAUGUAUCUAUACCUUUUCAAGGGUUUUGUUUUGUAUAUAAUGAUAUUUGAUACAAUUUUGAAGUGAUGUAAAUAAUUGAAAUAUAAGAAUUUAUUUGUAAGAUUUUAUUUUGCAUAGUUUUUAUGAUGGAUUAAUCUCAAAUUGGUCCAUAUCUUUGUCUCGCCGUCUGACCUAGGUCCCUCAACGGAAAAAUUAUUGAAAAAGUUCAUCUUCUUUGUAAAUCGUUUGAAGCAAGUCCUCGUCGGAGCGAUAAUUUAGCAUGCUAAUUGUGUUAGUGAAACUUACAUAAAUUUAAAAAAAAUAAAAUAAAAUUACACAUCAUAAAUUAAAUUAAAUUAACAAAAUUAAAUUACAUUAAGAACCCAUAUUAACCCCAAUUCUAAAUCCCUAAAUACACCAACACUUUAUUGAUACUUACUCACACAACUCCUAUAACUUGCACUAAAAAUAAGAGAAGAGUGUAAUAAAAUCAGAAGUAACCUCAUUAUAGUUCAUUUCACUUGUACGGGUACACUAUUUAAUGUCGACGCUGAAGUUAACCUCCAGGUAUAAGUCAUUCCAAACUUGCACAUACAUACAGUAAUUAAGUAAUUACCACCACCAAUACAAUCCCCGCAGCUCAAAACAAAUUGACUUUGUAGCGGUGAAAAUAAAGAUCACAUCAAAUGGAUCUGCGAACAAUAGCCUCGCCUUAUGUGCUCACAUCGGGAAUUACGUCAUCGUACUCCUUCUACUACUACUAGCUCCAGUCAUUCAUUCACACAUUCACUCAUUCAUUCAUUCCACUCCCGAUUCCGAUUCCGAACGAAACCCUUGGAUUCGGCGAUGCCGCUUUAUUGUUAACAAUCAGAUCUAGAUAACUUCAUUGAGUAGCGGCGCGGCGGAGAUGGAGGGGAAUUCCGGCGGUGGUGGUGGUGGCGGAAGCGGCGGUGGAGGUUCUGAUGUGGAGCUUCUGUGCAAGACGUUGCAGGUGGAGCACAAGCUGUUCUACUUCGAUCUGAAGGAGAAUCCUCGCGGUCGCUACCUCAAGAUUUCGGAGAAGACUUCUGCUACGAGGUCCACCAUCAUCGUUCCGUUCUCCGGCAUUUCCUGGUUUCUCGAUCUCUUCAAUUACUAUGUUAACUCUGACGAUCAAGACCUCUUCAGUAAGGAACUGCAGCUUGACACCAAGGUAACUCAACCCACCCUCACUCUUCAAUUCAGCUCCAAAGAUUUCAAUCUCACCACAUUGAUUGUAGUGUUUUUAUCAAAUUGAUUUGUUAGAGAUGCAUAAUUGUUGCCAAAUUUAGAGUAAACAAUCAAUUUUCAUUUGCAGGACUCAGGUAGUAAGUAGUAUACAAAAGUAUGAAUUUGGUAACAAUUUCGCUUAAUUGCACCUCCGAUUGCUCGUUCGCGAUUCGCUUUAAGUGGGGACCAAAAGUGCAAUUAAGCCUAACGAUUUUGUAUCUUUGACCGACUAAUUUGAUGAAAAGCAUUCAUUUGAUGGAGGCCAAACUGACAGAUUUUUCCUUUUGUUUUUCAGGUUUUUUACUUCGACAUUGGGGAGAAUAGGAGGGGCCGCUUCUUAAAGGUACUUGUUACUUGAAUUAGGUUUAAUAUGCUUUUUAUGUUUGUUGGUUUGAUGACUAUUGUUCUUGACUUUAUUUUUUCCACAUAGACAUGUCAGAGUUUUGCAGUGGUAUGUUUCUGUAUUGCUGCAGAGGGAAGGUCAAAACAUCUAGGAUUUGUAGAGUUUACAAUUGGUGGUUUUAGGCUUUUAGCAUGCAUGUUUUUUCAUGAGCUAUAAGGAAAUUUAGUUAAUGGCAUUGAAGGUGUUGUGAUCAACCAAACCCUGGUAUGAAAAGGUGGAAAAUGAAUAGCAGGUUUUACCAUUUCAACUUGUUUAUCAGUUGGAAAGAGCCUGAUAUAUAUAACAGGUUAGGGAUAUUAAUAACCUUAGGAUUUGAAUGAAGAUUUUCUUUUUCUUUUUUAAAUCAAAACUAGGAAUGUGAAACAAAAAUGUAAAUGUGUGGUAAUUGAUUGGGCUGCUGCUUGUUAGACAUUCCUAAAUAGUUGCUUGAAUGCAUAAUACUACUUUAAGCUCUUGGAAUUACACACUCUUCCUGGUCAAUGGUUUAUAUGCAAGCAUUUUGCUCUGCAGAUUUUUUUGUAGAAUUAUUUUGGUAAUGGUGGAAACAAAGUGCUUGCAUAUAAACAUUGUGGAUUUGUAUGGCUUGAACUCUGAAAGUAAAGGCCUGAUUACAAUGAGAAAAAGAGAACCUUAUGGAAGUGAGCUUUAUCUGUAAAAAUCAUGCCUUGGCAGAUUUCUGAUUUAUCUUAGCAUUGACUUCUGAAGCUUAGUUUUUAGAUGUUUGACUGAAUCUCUUAAGGUUGCAAAAAGCUGUAUCUUGUUUUGCAUCUAUUUGGGCUUACCUAAUUUUAUUGUGGAAUUUCUAUCUUAGGAUGAAUAUUUUAUGUAUGUUUUUUUUGUGUGUCAAGAUUAUGAUUCUAAUUUAUUUUUGAAGGUGUCGGAGGCUUCUGUAAGCAGAAACCGUAGCACUAUAAUUGUUCCUGCAGGAAGCUCCAGGGACGAAGGGUGGGCUGCAUUCAGAAACAUUUUGGCAGAGAUUAAUGAGGCAUCAAGGCUUUUCAUUAUGCCCAAUCAGGUUUCCUUAAUUUGCAUGUAGACAUUUUUUGUAGUUCCAAUUUAUCUUCUAGGAUCUGUUUAAUGUCAUCUAAUUGUUUGUAUUGCACAGCAGCAAAAUUCUGAAUCCUCAGAGCGUCUUGUCGGACUUUCGGAUGAUGUUGGUGCUGGCUUCAUAUCUGGUCAUAGUACACAACCUGCAACCUCUUCUGAAUUGAAUGUGGACAGGUCUGUUGAUUUACCAGCUCAGGAUGAAAUUGGAAACUUGGGGGUCUCAAAAGUUAUCAGGGCUGAUCAAAAAAGAUUCUUCUUUGAUCUUGGGAGCAAUAACAGGGGUCAUUUCUUAAGAAUAUCUGAGGUUUGUUGCCAUUGUCUUAUUGUCCUUUACCCUUUAUUAUGUUUUAGUGUUCGAAUAUGACUUUCUGCUUUAAAUUCUUGUUAUUUCAUUGCAGGUUGCAGGUUCUGAUCGUUCCUCCAUCAUCCUUCCUCUGUCAGGGCUCAAGCAGUUUCAUGAGAUCGUUGGUCACUUUGUUGAAAUCACCAAGGACCGAAUCGAGGGAAUGGCAGUUGCAAAUGUCCGCACAGUUGAUCCCCCUCAAAGAUGAGUGCUAACAUAUGGGGUUUUCUGUGACAACAAGUAGUCACUCUCGGCCAAGGUUUCGUUAGGGAAUGGGUGUUAUCGCUGUAUCUGAUUGUGCUAUUUUUAUUUUUAUUUUUCCUCAGCCUUCUCCUUCUCAUGUCAUCUUCAAUUAAUGCUUUUGAAAUAAUCCAAACACUGGUUGGUUGGUUAGCAGAAUAAAUGGAAUAUCUUGGCAAGGUCAAUAUGAAUAGGAAAUAACAAAAGAGAAAUGAACCAGAGACUUGUAUUUGUUUGGAUAGUUUGGCACCCGGUCUAUAUGUUGUAAUAAUGAUUGUUUAAUUAUUUUGCUUUGCUGCACAGUUUUCACAUGGAUUUAAAGUUCUCAUACAGGCUGAGGUAUCAACCACCAUGCGUACCAUAUUUUUAGGUUCGAUGAUUGGCUUCCUCCUUGCUUAAACUUAGCUUUCAUAGUUUUACCAUCAUUUAUCUGUUUUUUUUUGUCAAUUCAUUUAUCUGUUUCUUGUGUAUCUAAACUUGGGCCAAAACUAUUUGGACCAUCCUCAUUUACUAUCCACACCAUCCUUUUGAGCAAAAAUACAAUUAUACCCCCAGACUUAAAAAAAACUGAAUCAAUCAAACAGGAAAAGAAAACUUCUCCCCACACCAUCUCCCUCUCUCACGGUUUCUCUCUUUCUCUCGGCCCUUUCAUUCUCAACUUUCCCAAAUGAAAAAAAAAAAAAAACCGUAGCCACCACCCUGAUCUUUGUUGGAGAAGGAAGGAAGGAGGAAGAAGGAUCUUGAAGAAGUUGGAGAAGGAAGCAAGAAGAAGAAGCAAAGGAACAAGAAAGAGGAAGAAGAGGAAGAAGGAGAAGUCAAACAUCAUCUUGACAAAAUCGCUUGGUUUCCCGAUCUGUUUCAAUACACAAUUUAAAUUGCGGUAGCUUUAUGCUUACGGCAAUUUAAAUUGGGGUAGUACUAUGUUCCUCUGUUUUUCUGUUCCUUGAUAUCCUUUGGGUUUUUGAAUCGCAAAAUCGGGUUGUGUUCGUGAGCCUUGGACAGAACAUAAGAGAAAUCGAUUUCUAAAACCUUCUGUUAAAUUCAAAACCUGCCUGCUAUGUUCCACUGUUGGAUCCGCAAUUAAAAUUGCGAUAGCUUUAUCCUUUCCGUCAUUUUAAUUGCAGUAGUGCUAUGUUUCUGAUUGUUUGAUCUGCAAUUAAAAUUGAGUAAACUACCGCAAUUUAAAUUGAGUAAACUACCACAAUUAAAAUUGAGUGAACUACCGCAAUUUUAAUUGAGUAAACUACCGCAAUUUAAAUUGCGGUACCUAUAAAAUGUCCGCAGUUUAAAUUGCGGUACGAACCAGAACCCAGAUUUUCACGAAAAACGGUAAAAUUUCAAAAAUGACACCUUUUUUGAGCUUCUAUUCUUCUCUUUAUCUCACCCUUUGACGUUUACACUGACUUGAAGCUUCAAAUACCUCUAAAGUGUGUGAUAUGUUGAUUUAGAAUAUGAAAUAGGGAUAUGGGGAAGGUGAGAGUGGAAGAGGAAGAAGGAAGAAGGAAGAAGGAAGAAGGAAGAAGGAAGAAGAAAUGGGGUUGGGAGAGUAUUUUUUUCCCUGCUUUUAAUGUUUUAUACGUUGGGGGUGCUUUUAGGAUUAAAAAAAUAAGGGAUGGUGUGGAUAGUAAUUGGGGAUGGUCCAGAACCCAGAUUUAUAAGUCACUUUUAUCUAAUUAUCUAGAAUUAAGAAAAGUAGUUGCUAGCAAUAAAUUAGUAAAAAAAUUUAUCAACUUUCCUAGAUUGCCCCAUAAAUUUCUCUCUCCAAAUUUAUUUUCUUCAAAGUCACACCAUCUCUUUCAUACUCCCUCUGUUCCUAUUUAUCUGUCCAGGUAGAGAAGGUUCACACAAAUUAAGGAAAGCAAUUAAUUGUGUUGAUUUUCAUAAAAGUAUUAUUUGUUUUCCUAUAUCACCCUUUAGAAUGUAUUUUAUCUUUCUUCAUUUAUUGUUUCUGUAAGGGCAUUUAUUGGAAAAACAUCAAUUAAUGCUCUCUUGAAACUCUAAGUGGACAGAUAUAUAGGAACGCAAUUUUUUCUUCAAAGUGGACAGUUAAUAAGGAACGGAGGGAGUAAUAAAUAUGAGGGUAAUUUUGGAAAAGGGAAUUAAAUGAUGCAUUGGUCUUAUAAAGUGACUUAUAUUUUAGGAUAAAAAAAACUCUAAAAAUGUGACUUAUAAAUGAGGACGGAGGGAGUAACUCAUUUCUCUAUCUUCUCUUCAUAUUUAUCAAAGGUGGAAGUGGAAAAGAAUUGUAAACACAACAUCAUUCAAUUAGUGGAGAGGACGAGUUGAGGAGUUUUGAUUUUGUGUGUGUGUGUGCAGUGAGCGUAAUCGAUAGAAGCAGGUAAAAAUAAUGGUCCAAAUUUCGACUUUUUUCAGGAGUCCAUAUUAGAUAAACCCCUAAAAUAAAUUAAGGUAAAAUAUGGAUUACACAUAAUGUUUCACUAAUUUUCAUAUUCAUUUUAGGUGUCUAAAGUCUCUGCAAAUGUGAGGAAAGUCCUUUAAGUGGAGCUUCCGGGUGCACAAUUGCCUUGGUGUCGUCGUGCUUAGGUAGUUUAUCUCGACCUUGCGUAAGACUGCACCACCACUUUUCUAGUUUAUAUGAGGUGGUCCGUGACUGAACCAGGUUACGUUGGCCGCUUUUAUGGUGCUUGCUUAAGAGCAAGCCCUGGUGGGCCGACCCAAUGUCGUCAACUAUUAUUUUGAUUUUUGUUUUCAUUGGCGCCGUCUUUCUAGACAUUCGUGCCGACCAUACUGUUUUCUACAUUCAUAUACUUCGUUGAGGGCCUACGAAACUCAUAUAUGUCUUGCGGUGACGUCUUGGCUGGUGAAGUAUGGAAAUACGUUCUCACUCUUAUUGCUUCAUAUAUCAGAUGAAGCUUCACCUUCAGGUCCAAACUUGUAAUGAGUGUCGCUUCUAUGUAGAAUUUCCUUAGGAAGUCUUGCAACGACUCCUUAUUUCCUUGCUUUAGUUUUUCUAAGGUAUGUGAGAUUUUAGGUAGACCUUUGCUUGUAAUGAAGUGGUGAGCGAAUUGUUGAUAAAAAAAUUUCCAACUUCUUAUUGUCUCAGUUUGGAUGAAGAGACUAGUACAAUAAGAAGAAAGUUGCGCCGUGAAUCACCCACUGCAUUGAAAGUAAAAAGUUUGACAGAUUUUCGGUGUAAUUCACUGUCGGGUUUGCUUCCCAAUAUUAACACAGCUUGUUUACACGGAUUUUUGGUAAACAAAUAUCCUCUUAGUUCGACUAAAGGAAGUUUAGAUUCGGGGUCCUUUUGAGAAAACGCUUUGCCAAAGUGUAGUGUGUGAACGAGUGUAUUCUCGACAAUAAUAAACAACUCAAACGAAACUGGACUUUAUUGAGUAUGAGUCGAUUACAAAACAGUCAAGCAAACUUAAAAUAGCAUGAAAGCAAAUUUCGACAAAACAAGUUACACAUAAGAACUGGGAAUUAACAAACUGAAAUACAAGGAAAUUAAAGCGUUGGUUCUGCAAUAUACUCCUCCAUCAUCACGUUCUGCUCUCGAAGUCUCAUUGAUGCGGACGUUUGGAGCUUUUGGUGAAUUUUCAGAGUUUUUAGUUGGGAACCCUUUCUUCUGCUGCUGCUUCCUCUAUUUAUACUGUUCUUUCUGCCCAUGUUCUUGGCGGUUUUACUUGGAUGCACGAUGGCUUCGUGGGUUUUGAAUUUUGGCGCCAUACCCCACGUUUAGCCGAUGGUCUUCGCGCACGUGACUCUAUUGCCACGUGGAUGGUUCUGAGUCGCGGGCAACCGUUGCUAUUCGUGGCAUCGUGGGUGUACGCACGUGCUUGUAAUCGCUUGUUAUUCGGUAACUGCCCCUUCCAUUAAGAUGAUCGAGAUUUCUUCAUCUUCUGAGUGUGUCGAGUUAUGGCUUUUACUAACUUGUCUUUGAGGGACAUCGUGUGCUGAGUUGCCGGCUUCGCCCAACCCCUUCUGUCGAGAAACCACUUUUUGCACCAUGGUGUCGAUAAUUGUAAUGCUUGUAAUUUUGGCUUAACAGUUGCCCCCGAAAAAUGUUGGUUGUCGACUGCUUUAGCUCAAAGACACCAAGCAUUUUUUCUUAUCGCAGCCGUUCGAUUCCAACGAUUCAAAUGCUUUGUGCUCUCGACCCUUUGAUCUUCAAGUCCAAUCGGCAGCCAUAACGUCUGAUGACUUCUCCACUAGCUGACAGUUAUAGCCUUUUUAGGGCCAUGAUUUCACCUAUGCCAAAAAGCUGAGAGGUGACAUGAAUUAACUAAUAAAAUAAUCGCUUGGAACCCAAAAUUUUUAUAAAUUGCUGCUCAAUGCGGCUUGGGUUCCGUUUUCCCUUCCGUUUAUAAAUACCCUCUUGGUAUUCCUUGUUCAAGCUUUACUCUUUCAUCCAACCUGCAACUUCUUCUUCCAGACUUCAUCACUUCAUCUUCUUCCGUCUUCUCUGAAAUACUUGCUGCGUCUUUCAAUGGCUUCCAAUCCUGAGCAAACCAUUCCGUUGGCCACCGAGCUUAAGCUGGAUGAGUCCAAGCGCGUGCCAAUCCCAGAACCUCCCAACGAAGCAAAGAAGAGAGCUAUCUGGAAAUCCCAGGUACUCAUUCCUUUCUCUGUUAAUGGUACUUUACGCGCCAUUUUGGGCCCUUUGAAAGUAGUGAAGCAUGAUAGGCCCAAUAGUCUCCCUGAAGAACAUGAAUCAUUUCACCCUAGCGUUAGGGGAGAGGAGCUCAUUUUGGCAUUUCAACCCUCUUACCGUAUGCCAUUUCUUUCUGACCCAAAACGAGCCUUUCGUUCAGCCCCUCCUAACCCUUCUGCUAACGACAAGGCCUACCUGAAAUGGUUAGAUAGAGUUGAGGGAGAUAAGAGACAACACUGGAAGGAUGUAGGGAUUUUCGACUUGAUUCAGUUGUCGAGAUCUCCAAUCUCGUAUAACCCUGCUAUGCUGUUGAGUGCACUUUAUUUCUGGGAGAGGUCCACUAAUUGCCUUCAUGUUCCCUUUGGUAUGAUCACCCCCACCCUCUUGGAUGUUGCUGCUAUCACCGGAUUGUGGCCCAUUGGUGAUGAUUAUCACUCUGCACCUGCUCCUGUUAAACCCAUCUCGAUCCCUACUGACAACGUUUCUUUUAGUCGAUUCAUUAAGGACCAUUAUGUCGAGAGUGGUGAGGUGUCUGAUGCUGAACAUGUCGCUUUCUUGCUGUAUUGGCUGUCUGCUUAUGUCUUUUGCACCAAAUCUUUGCGCAUACCUGCCAAGCUUUUGCCUUUAGCCAAUCUGCUUCAUGAGGGUCGACAACUUGCUAUGGCUAGGCUCGUCCUUGGCAACCUGUAUCAAAUGCUGAAUGAAGCUGUCGAGGAUAUCCGGAACACUAAGACCGUCUCUCUGAAUGCGGCUGGACCACUUUAGCUGUUUCAACUUUGGUUGAAUGCAGUCUUCGAAUCGCUUCUGCCGGUACAAGAUAAUCCUCUAACUGUUUCUAACACCAGGAUUGAUGCCCAUAGGCUCGAGACCCUGACCCCUGCUUAUGAUGCGUCGAGUACUUUACCAUGUUUCUCGAGCUGAAACACUACCGUUCCAGUUUCUCUCCUUACAGCAAGGCUAUUCGUGGCCCUUUCUGGCUGAGGAAUUCUUAUCCUAAUGCCUCUGAUUCUGCGCUGCCCAAGGAGCACCACAUCACACUUUGGAGGACCCUCUUAUCUCCUAGGGUUUUAACUGUGGGCUUUGCUAGCAGUGACUACACUCUAUGUGGCUACAACCCUCAAUUGGUUUCUCGACAGUUUGGGCUUAGCCAAGUUCUACCCAACACUUUAUUUGACAAGAGUCUAGUCCUGUACCCCGGAACUAUUAAGAGGGUUUCUGUUUUCGACAAGACUGUUCAAUUUUAUAACAAGAGACUCCUCAACCUGAGCCCCUUCACUUACGCUCCUUCAUAUUAUGCCACUAAUGCUUUCAAAGCCUGGUGGUCUGAGUAUUGGGCUCAAAUUUCGAAGCCCCUCGUCGAUUGUCUGCAAUGCAUGACAGAUACUUUUCUUUUGCAGAAGCAGGAUCCGAAGAAGACCAAAGGUAUGCACCUGGCAGAAAUUCGAUCUUUUCAAGAGUUCUUUGGUGUGGUAUAUUACCCAACUCUUCGCCUUCGAGAUACAGUUGCGCAAGCAGCUCAAGUAUUAAGGCAAAAAUGGGAACUUAAAGCCAAGAAAUCCAAGUUAGUGGUUCCUCCUGGUGAGGAAGGUCUAUCUUUUGUUAUUCGAAAAACUGGCUUUAGGUUCCCGUCUUUGCCUACGAGUAAGUUUGCAUUGGCUUUUCCACCGAUCUUGCCUAAAUGGGUUGAUCAUGUAAACAUAAAUGUAUUGGCCAAUCAAGCUCUACCUCCUCGAAAGCGAGUGACUUGGACUAAGUACCACCUAUGGAACUUUCCGUAUCAUGUGCCCGUCGAAAUCUUCAACCACAUAUCGCUGAACAUGCGUAUUGGUCAAGGUAAUACUUCGACUUGGCCUUGGUUUUCCUGUUUUACUUCUUAAUUUUUCUUUUGUUUGCAGCUGAAGUCAUUAUUUGACCAGCUCCUCAAGUUAUUUCCCCAGUGGCUCAUUCCUCCAAGGACCAGCCAGUCGUGAUCGAGGAUGAUGAUGAUGAUGAUGAGGAUGAUGAUGUCAGUCUUGCUGACAAGCUCAAGGUACUUUCCUCAUGCUUUUACCUUUUCCUUUUCGAUUUCCUUGGAUUAUGGGCUGACGUAUGUUUCGACAGAGUCGGAAACGGAAACCUAAGCCUGUUGCUUCGGCCAGUCAGAAGAGGGCCAAGGGGGUUGGUGUUUCCACCCCUAGUGGGGCUUCUAAGUUGGCAUCUGAUGCCCAAACAGAAGUCGCUGACAAAGAGGGUGGUGGCGACGCCGCCAUUCAGGUAUGUUCUCCAUUCUCGAGGGUACCUUGUGAUAUUUUUAACCCGUGGUUUCCUAAUCUGAGUCAUCUCUUGUUUGUUUUGUUUCCUUUAGACUGAUGUUCAUGAGCACUCUACUUCCAAUCCUCCAUCCCGUGAGAAUUCCCCAGCUCCCAUUCCUGCAAGAUCCAAAACUGAAGGUGUCGAGAAACCUCCCAAGGCCGCAUCCUCAGCUAAAAAGACCUCCACAUCUAAGGGAAGGAGGAAGGUCAGGAGCAAAUCUCGUCAUAAGUCUCCUCGCCGUUCCAGAAGCUCCACCAACUCGAGCCCUUCUAAAGACUCUGCUUGCCAGGUAUCUUUAUACUUUUCAUGUUUUAUUGACUCCUCUAAUAUACGUUUUACUUUAUCGAAAGGGCAUUAAAGAGGUUUUUCUUGCAGGAGACUCAGGGUGCAACUUCUCCCAUCCGCGAAACAGAGCCUCUUCCAGGCAAGGAUGAUAGCCCUAUGCCUCCUCCAAUAUCGACUGCCACUGUGCAACAUUCGCCUAAAAUCAAGGGUGGCUCUUCAUCUCAUGUGUCUAGUGAAAAGCUCGACACUUUAUUUGAGGAGGACCCGCUGGCAGCUUUGGAUAGCUUCCUCGAUGGCACCUUGGAAUGGGACUCUCCACCCCGUCAAGCUGAUGCUACUGCUGAGACUGCUCAAUCAAGUGGGGUAGCCAAUUCUCAGCAGAUCGAGGAGAGUAUGGGUCGGCUGAAGGCUAUUGUCUUCGCCAAUGGGUUUCUCGACCAGAUCCAAGCUGAUCCUCAAGCGAGCCAUGCUGCUAAGGAAUUGCUUGUCUUCCUUCUUGGCCAAAAACUCGAUUCUCAACAGGUUGCUGCUUUGGCUAACCUUCAAUCUUUUUUAGUGGAUGCUUCAGCCACCUUUCAUCAAAUCAAGGAUGUUGGUCAAGCUGUCAGCUUUAAGGAGGCAAAAGUCUCUGCUGGUAAAGCUCAAGUUGCAGCAAUGAAAGAGGACUUCAAGAAGUUCACUGCUAGGAAGGUUUUGAUCGCAGAUGAAAUCUCUGAAGUCGACAUCAAACUUGAAGAACUGCAUCGAGAGAUUACCAAACUGGAGAAAAAGCGAGCUGAUUUGGUCGAGGAAGGCCCUGCUGUAAAGGAUCAGUUGGACGUGCUUACUAAAGACUCCAAGGCUCUGAUCAUCUCGACAAAAGAGGUUAUCAAGGAAUUGGAGAUUGAUCAGGCUGUGAAGAAGGGUCUCGAUGCCAAGAUUGCCACCUUUGCUGAUUGUUUGAACUCUUUUAAGACCCUGCUGUAGGACUCUUUUUUGUUUAUUAAUAUGUAAUGAUGGCACUAUUCUAACCAUGGCCUUCGAUGCCAAUUGCGUGUAAUAUUUCGACAAUGGUUUUGGCACCUAAGCCAUAUAAUUUGACGUUUAAUUUGCCAAGUCUUUUCAGUUUCCACUACGCAUUUAUUUUGACGGCUAUUCAUUUAUUGUUGCAUCGCUCAAACUUCCUUGCACCCCCUCACACAGUCGUCGCUUUGUUUCUGGGGAAUGAACCAAUUUAUUGCAAUCUUAUACCACGUUUUCUUGAUUCAAUGCAAGUCUUUGUUCAUUAAAAGCCAAAGCUAUUCACGAUGGUGGUGGUAAUCUGCAUGGCCUGUAACCGUAAGAUGAAGAUUUGGCAACUGAUUGCCACUAAUUAAUGCAUUCCUUGGUUGUUACCCUAUAAAUAGAGCGUUUUUGGUUACUCCUUUUCAGUAACUUCUCCAAACUCUCCCUUGUUUCUUUUCCAGAAUUCUUUUCCUGCUUUCAUAAAUCCCUUCAGCCAUGGCUAGCCGUCGUGUUCUCAACCAGAUCCGGAACUUGGCUUUUGAUCAAGACUUAUUCUGGGAGUUGCACUCUUUCCUCCCUUUGGCUGAAGAGCUUACGGGGCUCAUUAACCAACUUCUUUCGAGGAAUAUUAUUGCCUCGGUAAGAAUUCCUCUUCAGGAGUUCUUGAGCCUCCUGCAUGAAGCUGUACCUCUAUAUGAAGAACACCGGGAGCUUACUGCUCGAGUGUUCUUUGCUGAACACCAGAUUGAUGAGAAGAUGGAGGAGUUUGAGGAGUUGAAGGCUGCUCUUAGCCAGGCGAACCUCGAGGGGAGUGUGGGAGCUCUGAAACCCUUGGUGGACAAGCUUUCUUCUACUGCCCGUGAAGAGCUGGAUAUUCGACAGGAGAAAUCGCGACUGGAAUCCCAACAAGAAGAUGUCUUGAGGCGCAUAGAGCCUCUUAGGGCCAGAUACAAUAGUUGUAGGGCCAACCCUCCUUUUUAAAAUUUCUUUGCCAUAGUUGUAAUGCUCUAUUCUAUUCAAUAAAACAUUCGCAUUUGGCAAUUUAUUCUCUUUUACUUCUUUAUUCGAUGUUUAUCUCAUGCAAUGUUGGCUUAUACGUUUUUAAAUAUUUGCCAUUUAUCGUCAUUUGUCGAUUACCUCCUAAUUCCUUAAUCGAAUAAGCGUUGUUUAAAAGUACUUUCUCGACUGAAAAAGGGCCUUCCCAGUUUGGGGACCAUUUUCCGUAACGUUUAUCUUUUUUAUCAAUUGGUAAGACGACCUUCCAUACGUAAUCACCAAGCAUAAAAGAUUUAGCUCUAACCUUUUUGUUAUAAGCUUUAGCAAUGCGAUCCUUUUGCCUGGUUAAGGUAUCCAACACCAAUAAUCUUUCUUCGUCGAGAUUGACUAAUUCGUCAAGCAUCAUACUCCAAUAAUCUUCACUUGGAAUUUCCUCUUGCCUUUGAAUUCUGCAUGACUGUAAAUAUACUUCUACUGGUAGUACCGCUUCUUGACCAUAUGCUAGUCGAAAAGGCGUUGCUCCGGUAGAUUCCUUAGGUGAAUUCCUGUAAGCCCAAAGCACUUGGCCUAACGUUUGAUGCCAGUUUUUAGGUUUUCGACCAACAUGUUUUUUAAUCAAGGAGAUCAACGUUUUGUUGGCCGCUUCGACUUGACCAUUCGCUUGAGCAUAAUAGGGGGUCGAGGUUAGGAGUUUUAUACCCCAAGAUUCUGCGAAUGAUGCUACCUUUUGGCCUACAAACACUGUGCCUUGGUCUGUAGUCAGUGACUCAGGUAGCCCAAAGCGGUACACUAUGUGAUUCUGAAUGAACUCGAUCACCGUGUCCUGGGUCACAUUUUGUAGAGGAAUUGCCUCUACCCACUUGGUAAAGUAAUCUAUAGCCACUAUGAUGUACUUAUGCUGCCUAGAAGAACAUGGGUUAAUUUCGCCAAUUAGGUCUAAAGCCCAACCCCUGAAUGGCCAAGGCUUAAUGAUCGAGUGUAGUUCACUUGCUGGCACAUGUUGUAUCCCCGCGUGUCUCUGACAAUCUUGGCACCUCUUGGCAUACUCCAUACAAUCUUUCAUAAUAGUAGGCCAAUACAUCCCUUGUCGAAAUAGGAUCCAUUUCAUCUUGAUUCCUGCCUGGUGGGCACCACAUAGCCCGUCGUGAACGGCUGAGAUCGCUAUGAACGCGUCGUCUUCACUUAAACACUUCAGUAGUGUUCCGUCGACGUUUUUCUUGAAUAGCUCGUUUCCCAUGAUGACAUAGCUCAUUGCCCUGUAUUUUGUCUUUCUAUCUGUAGUACCCACAGGAUUUUGCAAGUAAUCGACAAUUGGCUUUCUCCAAUCAUUAGGUGCCAUAUUGUCAAUGACCAGGAUGUCGAGGUUAGAGGGGUUUAGUUUUUCUUUGACCUCGAUAAGCUCUUUUAACCUACAUUUAUCGACCGUAUAUCCUGACGCGAUUUGUGCUAAUUCAUUGGCUUCUUGAUUGUCCACUCUGGAGACGUGACCUAGCCUAGCUUCGUCGAAUUUGGCCAACAAAUUGCUAGCUUUCGUGUAAUACCUAGCUAGAUUUUCACUAAUGCACUUGUAUUCCUUGGUAAGUUGCUUUAUUACCAACUCAGAGUCCCCUUUUACGACGACAUUCUUUGCCCCGAGGGCUAUCAGGAUCUCGAGGCCUGAUGUUAAUGCCUCAUACUCAGCCUCAUUGUUUGAGCAGUUACUCUUAAUCCUAAACUUGAAUUUCGUGGGGAUGCCCCUUGGGGAUACGAUGAACAUCCCGAUCCCAGUGCCAUUUUUAUGGCUAGAACCGUCGAAAAAUAGCUCCCAAGGUUGGAUGCCUACGUAAGUUAUGAUUUCUUGAGGCAAAGUAUGGUCUGCCAGGAAGUCAGCAAUUGCUUGUCCCUUAACCGCCUUCAGUGGGGCAUAAGUUAGUGAAUACUCGGUUAGGGCUAAAGCCCAUUUACCAAUUCGACUAUGCAAGAUAGGUUUGGAUAACAUGUGCUUUAUUAUAUCAUAAUGAGAAAAAACCAUUACAUCGAUUGGCUUUAUAUAAUAUUUCAGCUUUACACAAGAGAAGUACAAGCAUAAACACAAUUUCUCGAUCAUGGUGUAUCGAGUUUCUGCAUCAUUUAACACCCUGCUUAAGUAAAAUAUGGCUCUUUCUUUGCUAUCUUCAUCUUCUUGAGCCAACAUGCUUCCGAUGGUUCCAUCCGUGGCAGAGAUGUACAGCUUCAUUGGCUUUCCUCUUAUAGGUGGUGCCAUUAUAGGUGGGCUAGACAAGUACACUCUGAGUUCAUCGAACGCUUUUUGAUGCUCUGCUUCCCAGCGGAACGCAUCUUCCUUUUUAAGUCGAAGAAGUGGGGAAAAUGACUUGGUCUUCUCACUGAGGUUAGCAAUGAAUCUCCUUAGGAAGUUAAUCUUUCCCAAUAGUGAUUGCAGUUGUUUCUUGCUGGUUGGUGGACUAGUGUCGAGAAUGGCUUUAGCUUUGUUCUUGUUGAUCUCGAUGCCCUUUUUAUGCACCAAAAAACCCAAAAAAUCACCUGCAAUAACACCAAAGGCACAUUUAAGGGGAUUCAUCUUCAAGCCAUAUUUUCUCAUCCUCUCAAAGGAUUUCCUUAGAUGCAACAAAUGGUCAUCCCUUGAUGGGGAUUUCACCACGAUGUCAUCAAUAUAAACCUGCAUGAAGGUUUCUAUAAAAUCAUGAAAAAUGGUAUUGAUUACCCUUUGGUAGGUCGCGCCAGCGUUUUUCAACCCAAAUGGCAUGACCACCCAUUCGUAUGUCCCCAAGGCACUAGGACAUCGAAAAGCUGUUUUCGACACGUCCUCUUCUGCUAUGAAGAUUUGGUUGUAGCCUGAGUAACCAUCCAACAAGCUUAAGUAUUCGUGACCAGCAGCUGAGUCCACCAUCAUCUCAGCAAUGGGCAUGUGAUACUCGUCUUUUGGAGUGGCAGCGUUAAGAUCUCGGAAAUCUAUGCAAACUCUCAUCUUUCCAUUCUUCUUGAUUACUGGAACCACGUUGGCUAACCAGUCCACAUAUCGAGCUGUUCUGAUAAAUUUACACCUGAGGAGUCUUUCAAUUUCUUCCUUGAUUUUCACCAACACAUCUGGAUGGAACCUCCUGGGCAAUUGUUUGACUGGUUUCUUGUCUUCUUUGAUGGGCAACUUCAAUUCCACCACUUCUCGACUGAGGCCAGGCAUUUCAUCGUAAUCCCAAGCAAAACAGUCUUUGAAUUCCUUGAGUAAUUUCACCAUCCUGUCUUUUAGCUCCGGGUCAAUGAGAGCACUGAUGUACGUUGGCCUCUUUUCUAAGCCAUCACCCAGGUUCACUUCUUCUAAAGGGUCUUGCGCUUCCAUUUUCUUGGAAAAAUCGACCACUGGCUUCUCGAAGCCCAAUGCGCCGUCAUCAUAAAUGCAAUCUAGCCUCAGGUUGCAAAGGUCCUCGAAUCCACAUUCCUCGGCACUCCGCUCGUUUUCUUCUAUGCACGUGUCAUCCUUAUUUGUUGUUGCCUCCUCCUGAGGUGUUAAUUCGACGGGCAGGAUUGAGGCAUUGGUUUCGUCAGUAGCCAUUUCUUUGGCUAUUCUUGCGGCCUCUAAGGCCGUCCUUAUUCUUUUUUCGGCUGCGUAAGCCGAAAUUCGAGCUAGGCUCGAGUUAAUCAUCUUUAACCUCAUUUUGCCACUCAGUUGUGGCAUCCUUUUCUUCAUCGCUGUGCCAUCCACUCAUGGCAUCAGGUUUGUAUGCUUCAUUGAGGUUUAGGCCCCAGAUGGGAUCCAGCGUUACUGAGUACUCUGAGUAGGGGUUGAAGUAUUGGCUAGCCACUGUGUCUAAAGGAGCAAUUGUGGCUAAACUCUUCUCGAAAUUCUUCUUACCAACGUAGCUUGUUUCUGCUAAAUAGUAGCUUUGAUCUGCUUGUACAUUUUCGACAACUCCAUCAGCUUUCCAAAUGGAUAUACGUUGGUGUAAGGUCGAAGGCACUGCCCCCACGCCAUGAAUCCAUUCUCUUCCCAGCAGCAAAUUGUAAUUGGCCUUUGAAGGGACCACAAUGAACAAUGUGGAACGGGCUACUGUUCCUACGGUUAUGUUCAACAUAAUUGCCCCUAGGGAAGAACCUGUCUUUCCUUCAUAAUCAGAAAGCACCAUGUCAUGUGAGAUUAGAUCCGCUUCAGUUUUACCUAACUUCUUAAGCAUAAAUCCGGGCAUGAGGUUGAUUGCAGCUCCCCCGUCGACAAGGACUUUGUUAACACCCUUCUCCUCGACUCUGGCCCAAACAAAGAGCGGUUUCAAAUGGCUCUUCAUUUGCUCGGUUGGCCUUUGGAAGAUAGCUCUUUCAUCUUCGACAGAUCCUCUCUGCAUCACAUAAUAACACAAAGGAUUGUCAUCUGGUUCGUCGUCGACAUAGUAGUCUUCCUCGCUUUCAGUGACCUCUGAAAUUCUAUCAAAUUCUGCAGGUAGGAUAGACACGAUGCAGAUGAUGUUAAGCUCUUCUCCAUCACUGUCGUCGAAAUCUUCGAGCAUGUCUUCAUCCUCAUCCUCGACAACAUCCUUCCCUUUUUUCUUAGCUGGAUUUGGUGGUACGGUUGUUCCCUGUUUGAUGGCGUGGUCCAGCUGGUUGAUAAUCGACGCCACACUAGGUUCAUUGCGAGAGUUGUCUUCUGGCUUUAUGUCCCAUAGUGAACGGAACUUGCCACCUCUUUCCCUCUCAGCUUUCCUUUUCCUCAAAAAACGCCUGAACUGAGUCCUGGUCAUUUGUUCAGGAGCAUAGUAGUUCCCAGAGCCAUAGGAGUAGCUUCGUGACACACGGGAAUUGUUGAUGUAAGAGGAUCCCUGGCCUAAGUCGAUUUUCUGCCACUUAGGGUAUGGUUUUGGCCUUGGAGGCGUUGGCCUGAACCAUUGGUUUCUUGGCAAUCCAGCAUUGGGGAGGUAAGUUUUGUCUUUAUUGCUUGCUUUCUGGCCUUUAUGGCCAUCGAGUUCCUGGUCUCUCUCGACCCACUCCUCGUGAGGGUACUUCAAUCUCCUGGAUACAGGAGCCUUUCUCUGAUAAUGCCUUUUCAUUUCUGAAUCUUGAUAGGCCUUGGCUGCGGAUUUGUCGAAAACAGCGCUGCAUCGAGGGCACAGCAUAACUUCUUUCUCGCCAUCUUUGCUGCGGGAUAGAAACUCGACAAGGGUUUCUCCAGCCUUGGGGUAAACCUCUUCCAAGUUCACUUCCUUCACGACGUCUGGUUCUUCGACAGCCGUGUUUUCCUCCUUUGCCUCCUCGAGUGUCAGGCCCAGAUUCAGCUUCUCGGAAAUGUCGACCAUGCCAAUGUAGAAAGGUUCCACGUAGUUGGCUUCAGCUACCUGCAGUGGGUCGGAAUCAAUCUUCAUUUGACUUUUGGUUUUUUCGUCAUACUUGAGCCUUCCUGAGUCCAAUGCCCCCUGCACAAGGUCCCUGAAACGAACACAUUGUGAGGUCCAAUGACCAAAAAAGUUGUGAUAUUUGCAAUAUUUCUUCCCUUUCCUUUGUUCAGGAGAAGGAAGUUUUUGGUCUUUAGGGACCACAAGCAAACCAUCAGACACAAGUAUAUCAUAGAUUGCAUCGCAUUUGGCCACAUCAAAAGUAUAAGUUUUCACAGCAGGAAUCGUGUUCUUGGGGUUUUCCUCCCCAAGUUUGUUUUCACGUGGUUUCAAUGCUUUACAAACAUAAGGAUCCCCUGGCUGAAGUUCAGCCAGAUUGACGUCAUUCAAAUCGACGUCCGCCGGGACUUCUCGAUAGACACAUGGACUCUGACCUACUGAAUCCGCGUCUAUGUACGCUACCUUCUCCUUCUUUGGCCACUUGGUAGUCUUGGCCCUUUCCUCUGACUUUUCGGCCUUUAGCAAUUCGAUGUGCCUCACUCUAUCUGCGAGUAAAGACAUAUCUCGAAUAUACUGAGUGUCGAUUUUCUUUCUAAUGGAAUAUUCUAGACCACCAGCGGCUAAGACAACUAGCUCGUGUUCAGGGACAUGGGUGAAACAUCGGGAUUUAAGCAUCCUAAACCUGUUUAGGUAAUCAUCAAUAGACUCCGCUGGCUUUCUUUUAACACUAGCCAGGUCCUUCAAACUUACUUUGCACUCUCCCCUAAAGAACUGUUCAUGGAAAAUUCUUUCCAACUGGGCCCAUGUAUGGACUGACCUAGGAGCGAGGGUGGUGAACUAGGUAAAUGCAUUUUUGGUUAAAGAACUCGGGAAGUACUUCAUUUUUAAAUUUUCAUUGAUGGCUAAGUCUCCUGCUUCGAUUUGGUACCUGGCUAUGUGUUCUACCGUGGACUCUCCUGAAUCCCCCGAGAACUUAGUGAAUUUGGGGACCUUCCAGCCUCGAGAGAGUUCUGCUUCGAGAACCUCCUCUGUAAAGGCUGACACAAAAUGGGGUCUAUUCGCGAAACCCACGUUGAAACCAUGUUGGUUCAACAAUUGCUCCACCACAGCAGCAACAUUUUGUUGCCCCCCAGCGUUCUGGUGUCGAAUUCUUUCUAGCACACCAUCAGCGUGUUCUUCCCUGUUUACCAUAUACACAUUUUGCAAUGGCGGCUGCACUGCCUCGUACAAAGGGUUUGCCCUCAUCUCUUGGUGUUGCGGCGCCUGAUAGCGCACCGGGGCAGGGAUAUGGUUAGGCAACGGGAUUUGGUUAAUCCCUGGUGCCGGUUGGAUUUCGACUGGUGCCCCCAGGGCUGUCGCCAAACGAUCCAUCUGUCGUUCCAAAUGCUGAUUAUUGGCAUUAUUAUUUUGGAGCACAGGGUUGAUUAGCUCACCUAUCUGUCGAGAUAGCAUAUUAACCAUUUCAUGGUUACUAUCAUCUACUUGCUGCCUAAUGGCUUGAAGUGAACCAUUAUUCAUACCUGUAGAUAAAUAAAUUUGUGAACUAGAUCCAGGAAUAGAAGGGCUAACUCGACUCCCCAAAUUUAGCAUUGUUCCAUUUGCCCCAAAAGGGGGUAUGCCGAAUGGAGGAACAUUUUCAGGGAACGUCGAAUACGUGCCUUGUAUGCCUUGCAUUAUAGACGUAGGCAUACUAUAAGGCAUGUUUUCCCUCGUAACUGUUGGAACAAUUUGUGCCUGUACUGAUGUAGAUACAGGCAUUUCUGCAACUGCAGAAAUUGCUACAUUCUGGGUUGGCAUAGUGGUGCCAUGCCCCAUUCCAGUAGACACUUCUUCAUUAUUGUUACCGCUACUUCCCCCAGGGCUACUCUGAUUACCCACGUUAGAUCCUUGGGGGGAGGUUCUUCCUCGAUUACUUGCCAUACUCAAAGUCUUACCACUUCUCAGGUGCAUAUAAAUCACAAUCAAGGCAAGUAGCAAAUACCAAAUAGCAUGCAGCAAACAAAACACACAAAACGCUUCUGUAAAACUUAGUUUUCACAAAAACGGUCCCACUGGGCGUGCCAAUUUGUUUACACGGAUUUUUGGUAAACAAAUAUCCUCUUAGUUCGACUAAAGGAAGUUUAGAUUCGGGGUCCUUUUGAGAAAACGCUUUGCCAAAGUGUAGUGUGUGAACGAGUGUAUUCUCGACAAUAAUAAACAACUCAAACGAAACUGGACUUUAUUGAGUAUGAGUCGAUUACAAAACAGUCAAGCAAACUUAAAAUAGCAUGAAAGCAAAUUUCGACAAAACAAGUUACACAUAAGAACUGGGAAUUAACAAACUGAAAUACAAGGAAAUUAAAGCGUUGGUUCUGCAACAUACUCCUCCAUCAUCACGUUCUGCUCUCGAAGUCUCAUUGAUGCGGACGUUUGGAGCUUUUGGUGAAUUUUCAGAGUUUUUAGUUGGGAACCCUUUCUUCUGCUGCUGCUUCCUCUAUUUAUACUGUUCUUUCUGCCCAUGUUCUUGGCGGUUUUACUUGGAUGCACGAUGGCUUCGUGGGUUUUGAAUUUUGGCGCCAUACCCCACGUUUAGCCGAUGGUCUUCGCGCACGUGACUCUAUUGCCACGUGGAUGGUUCUGAGUCGCGGGCAACCGUUGCUAUUCGUGGCAUCGUGGGUGUACGCACGUGCUUGUAAUCGCUUGUUAUUCGGUAACUGCCCCUUCCAUUAAGAUGAUCGAGAUUUCUUCAUCUUCUGAGUGUGUCGAGUUAUGGCUUUUACUAACUUGUCUUUGAGGGACAUCGUGUGCUGAGUUGCCGGCUUCGCCCAACCCCUUCUGUCGAGAAACCACUUUUUGCACCAUGGUGUCGAUAAUUGUAAUGCUUGUAAUUUUGGCUUAACACAGCUGCACACAAGAUACUGUGUACUCAAAACCUAAACGUGCUAAAACCUCUACAAUAAUGUUUAGAAUUUCGGAAAAGAUCAAGAAGACUAAUUUUCCUUCAUAUAUAUCAUGUUCUACGAGUUCACCUUCUUAAAAAGUUCACCAAUCCUUUUUACCUUCUACUAACUCUUUUCUUUUCCAUGAAAACCAUAAUAAUACUAAUAUUAAAUGUCAAUUAAAACCGUAACAGAUUUAAUUGCUAUUGGAUUGUACAACCGUGGAAAAAGAUUUAAUGUGAACUGAAGAAUUUAAAACCAAUAUAUGUUUUAAUUGGGUAGGUGGAAAAACCUGUCGAAAAAAAACUGGCAUGCCAUUAAUUCUUACAGUAUGCUCAAAUUACUUGUUUCAAUUUUGUCAUGUUUGUUAUGGAGUGUGAUAGACCGCUUAAAUUGCCGCGAGAGCGGGGAAUGUCCAAACGUAAACAGAGAGAGGUUUUUUUUCAAGGUUUUGUUUGCCACCUGUUGAAAUGACAAAGAGAGCUAAUGAAAAGUUCCAAACAAUAGAAAGUCAAAAAACAAUGAGUGGUGGAGCUAGACGCAAGGUGCACCAAAGAGAAAACCUCGGCAGGACGAAGCUCACAUGACUGAAAAUAGGUGAGACAAUGGGAUAUAAAAAGGGAGAAAUCAUGUAAGUGCAAGAGGCAGAAGAAGAGAAACAAUCUAUCUUCUUCCAAAUAAAAAAUAAAGGAAGGAGAUAGGAAAGGGUUGAAAAGGAUAAAAAAAAAAUUACAUUAGAUACAUUGUUGGCUGAAGGAAAAAAAUUCAAAAAAAUGGCUCGUGGAGCGAUUAUUGCAUCCAUGCUCUGCCUUCUGGCUGUAGCAGUGGUGGCUGAAGACCCUUAUAUCUAUUACACAUGGAAUGUGACCUACGGUACCAUUUCACCUCUUGGAAUCCCCCAACAGGGUAUCCUCAUCAAUGGUUUGUUCCCAGGACCUGAAAUCAACUCCACCAGCAACAACAACAUUGUCAUCAACGUGUUCAACAACCUUGACGAGCCAUUGUUGUUCACAUGGAGCGGUAUCCAGCAGAGGAAAAACUCAUGGCAAGAUGGUACAUUGGGAACUCAGUGCCCCAUCCAGCCAGGAACCAACUACACAUACAAGUUCCAGGUCAAGGACCAGAUCGGUAGCUACUUCUACUACCCCUACACCGGCCUCCAGAGAGCCGCCGGUGGAAUCGGUGGUUUGAGAAUCUACUCCAGGUUGUUGAUCCCUGUCCCAUAUGCUGACCCUGCUGAUGAAUACUGGGUCCUCAUGGGUGACUGGUACGCCAAGCCCCACACCACCCUCCAGAAGUUUUUGGACAGUGGUCGUAGCCUUGGAAGGCCAGAUGGCGUCCACAUCAUGGGUAAAAAUGGUAGCCCAGUCCCACUCUACACCAUGGAGCCUGGAAAGACCUACAAGUACAGGCUCUGCAAUGUGGGUAUGAAGGACUCCCUUAACUUCAGAAUCCAAGGCCACCCAUUGAAGCUUGUUGAGAUGGAAGGCUCCCAUGUGGUGCAAAACGUCUACGACUCCCUCGACAUCCAUGUUGGUCAGUGCUACUCUGUCCUCGUGACUGCCGACCAGGAACCAAAACAAUACAAGAUGGUCGCCUCCACACGCUUCACCAAGAAGGUGUUGUCCGCCACCGCUCUCAUCACCUACUCUAACGGUAACGGUCCCGCCUCCCCUGAGCUCCCACCUGCACCUGAAGGCUGGGCCUGGUCCCUCAACCAGUUCCGUUCCUUCCGUUGGAACUUAACCGCUAGUGCUGCCAGGCCUAACCCUCAAGGCUCUUACCACUACGGCCAGAUCAACAUCACCCGAACCAUCAAGCUCGUGAACACCGUCUCUAGGGCUAACGGAAAACUCCGAUACGGAAUCAACGGUGUGUCCCACGUUGACAACGAAACCCCACUCAAGCUCGCCGAGUACUUCGGUGUUGCUGACAAGGUUUUCAAGUACAACAUCAUCUCCGAUGAGCCCCCGGCAACCAUCGGUGACCUCACCUUGGCUCCCAAUGUCAUUAACGCCACUUUCCGUACCUUCAUCGAGAUCAUCUUCGAGAACCCCACAAAGGUUGUUCAGUCAUACAACUUGGAUGGUUACUCCUUCUUCCUUGCCGCAGUUGAGCCAGGGAAAUGGACACCCGAGAAGAGGAAGAACUACAACCUUUUAGAUACAGUGAGCAGGCACACCGUUCAGAUAUACCCCAAGUCAUGGGCAGCAAUCAUGCUUACAUUCGACAACGCUGGCAUGUGGAACUUGAGGUCAGAGCACACCGAGAACCGCUACCUUGGUCAACAAUUGUACAUCAGUGUCUUGUCUCCUGAACGCUCUCUCAGGGAUGAGUACAACAUUCCAGAAACCCAGCUCCUUUGCGGCAUCGUCAAGGAUAUGCCCAAGCCCGCACCCUACUCUUAAGCAUUUAUCAACCUGCAUUAAGACGAUGUAUUAGCUUUAUUUUGUAGCUGAUGUAUCCACCGACCCUUUCCUGAAUGCCACAAAUUUUCAGCUCCAUAUGUAUACACAUAUAUAAUAUGAAUGUCAAAUUCUCCUUCCAAUCCACUUCUAUGUGGGUUUUGUCAUGGAAUAUGUACACACAUCAGUUCUUUCAUUAAUUUCAAGUGACGGAAAUUAAACUUUACUCAAGCUAGAGCUACUACGACCUGAGCUCACACCAUAAGCAGAAGGAUAUAUAAUUGAACUAACCAAAAGAACUAAAUAUUAAGAAGAAAUUAUUAGUCUGUUUGUGCUGGUUUGGGUGGGUUGUGCCCAGAGGCGGACCCAGAAAUUUUGUGACACCUGGGCAAAAUUUUCACAUCGUCUUGAAUAUUUGGAGGAUACUCAUUAAUUUGUUUCCUACGCCCUGGAUCACGCACAAUCUCAUUCGGAUGAAACUCAUUGACCACAUUAGGCGAUGGUUCUACUUCGGCUUCCGGUUGUACAACAUUCACAUUCUCAAUACUUGCUCUAGGAACCAAGAACUUCCUCAUCUCUAAAAUUUAAUGAUCUAAAGAAACAACAAAGAAAAGCACAAUUAGAAAUUAUGAUCAAAUUAAAAAAGCACUAAAAACAACACUAAUAAAUAAAAAUGAAAAGGAGACAAUCUAUAUUCACAUGAUUAGUAUAUUGGAUGUACAAAAAAUGGAAGAGAAGAGAUCAUGGACCACAAGCAAUUACCAAAUUUUGGACCACAAGCAAUUACUAAAUUGAAUUGAAUACAUUACACAUUAUACAAUAUACAUGGCAAAUGGCAAUUGUUGGCAAGUGGCAAACCGCAUCUCAUGACUCAUGUAAUCUGUCUCUCACACUUUUCUAACUUAUCCUUCACACACUCACAUAGUCACACAUGACACAUACAAUUAAUAUUUGAUUCAAGAAUACCAAACCCAACUCACUCACGCAUCUCUCACUCUCUGUCUCACUUUUCCCUUUUUUUUUUACCUUUUCUGCCUUAACCUUUCUCUCAGUCUCUCACUCAGUCUCUCUCACCGCUCACCUCCUCUCCUCUGUUCCUCUCGACAACGCCCACGCCACGCCUCACCCACACGACACGCAGGCCGCAACCGCGCCCUCACCCACACCGGCACACGCAGGCCGCAGCCACGCCCACGCCCUCACCACCCACCGCCUCAGGCGGCCCUCACCCACGCCCUCACACCACAGCCCACAGGUCUCACUCACGGCACACCCCCUCACAGAGUCACAAUAGGAUAUUGAGAUUUACAGAGCAAAUAAGUUUGAAGCUAGGAUGGAGAAAUCAGAGAGAAAGAGACCUGAUUCCUGAAGAUUGAAGCUUGAAGAGUAAGAGUACUCAGAGAGAAAUGAAGAUUGCUGAAGAUUGAAGGGAAGCCUGAAGAUUGAAGCCUGAAGAUUGAAGUCAAUUGAAGUCUGAGAAGGAAAUUGAAGCGUGAUUUGAAGCCUGAAGGGAGAAAGUGAGUAGGAAAUUGAGAAUAGGGUUUCUAUUUUAUUAUUUUCCCCUUUCUUUUCCCCUUUAUAAAAUAGUCCUCAAUUUUACCCCAACCUUUAAAUUUUGCCCUUUUUUAUUUUUUUUUUGAGGCCCAAAAGAUGAUGUGGUCCAAAGAAAAAAAUUUUUUUUUGGUCAGAGCUUGGGCAUUUGCCCUAGGUAGCCAGGCGCUCAAUCCGCCUCUGGUUGUGCCUAUAUACUAGCUAAUAUCGGCAUUUGUUUCGUUUUUUAUUUGUAUUUUCCCUUUGCUAAAUUUUGUACUUUGUUCGUGGGUUUGAAGUACCCUUUUACUUCCUUUAAUAAAAUGUUUCUAUAAAAAAAAAAAAGAAUAAUAGAGCGAUCAAAUGGAAAUGUAUAUGCUUAAUACGGAUUCAAAAUUCUAAACAUUCGUUCGUGGUGUAUAAAAUGCACUGUUUAUAAGUUAUUUUACAAUGAUGAGCCAUUAAAUUGUUUUCUAAUUUUUUCCCGAGUAAUGAUAUAUACACACCUCCUUAUUUAUACACUUCAUUUCCACCUAUUUUUAUUUCUAUCUCUCUCCUCUUAUCAUCUAUCAUAUCUUAUACUUUCUCUUUCUUACUUUUUAUUUUCUUCCUAUCUCUCUCCUCCUCCACCUCUUUCCACCUCAAUUUAGAGGUGUGGACAAAUAAUUAUUGAUUUUUUCCCUAUUGUGUUGUUUGGAUAUAUACAAUUGCAUACGUGUCAUGUGUACUUGUCAUUUUAUAGAUUUAAAUAUGUUUUUAUCAUGACUUAUAUACACUUAUAAUAUAAUACUAGUGUUUUUUUCCCGUGCGUUGCACGGAAAAUAUAUCUAUUGUUUUUUAUACAUCAAUUAAUCAUGAAUGUGAUUAUGCGAGUUCAUUUUCAGUUUUUUUUAAUUCUAAGUUAUUUAUGUUUUAAUUUUUUUAAAGUUGUUCUCAAUAUGUGUUCAGGGAACACGUGUCUACAAUAUCUUAGAUAAUUAGGGACAACCCUUUAAAAUUUAAUGGAUUAUAAUCUCAGCACUACAUAUUUUAUUUUCAAUCAUAUUGUAGAUCAUGAGAAAGAAUAAAAGGAGAAAUCAAAGGAUUCCUGUAAAUAUGCAGUAAAUUAGACUUGAGACUUUUCCAAAUUUAAAGAGAUAAUGAAAAUGGUUUCAAGAUUUGUUUUGGAAAUAAAUUUAGUAAGGAGUAAUCUAGGUUAUUCUUAGAUAAUUAGGGCAAAUCUUUAAAAAUUCGGUUUUAAGAUAAAAUAACACAACAGAAGAGAAACUAUCUAAUGGAAUGACACGUGAAUAUUUUUUUUAUGGGAAUUAACCUGAGAAUGACAAGUGAAUUUUUUUUUAUGAGAAUUAACAUGAGAAUGACAUGUCACUAAAUCAGCCUGAUAUAAGUUAUUCUUUUCUAUUGUAUAUAUAUUGGUUGAUGGUAUUCGAAAGAAAAAUCCUCUUUUUUCCCCUAAAUAAUUUUGUUUUAUUUAAAAUGGUUCCUCUAAUGUCAUAAUGCGAACAAAGGUUAUAGGAAAUUAAAGUUUGUGUGGGGAUAGACUGUAAGGAGCUUGUUUCUCUUGCGAUUGAUACUAACAGAGACAGAAUCCGAGUCCAUCCUCAAGCCUCCAUUAUCCGUGAUAUUAAGAUUCUCCUGGAUUUGGAUUGGCGGGUUGAGCUUUCCUGGAUUCCCAAUGAAGCCAAUGUUGCGGCUGAUUGCUUGACCUAACAGGGCGCUCAUUCAUCCCUUCCUGGGUUGCAUAUGGUGACUAAUGUUGCUCCUGAGUUAGACUGGUUGAUCCUUAAGGAUGCCUUAGUUGUUCCUUAGUUUGUUGUUGCUCUGUUGUCAUUUUUCCGAAGCACCAAAAAAAUAAUAAUGCUUAUUUGUCAUUUUUUAGUUGGGAUAAAUAUGUAUUUGGUUCUUAAACUAUAGCGAAUUAUUAUUAUUAGUCCCUGAAUUAAUUUUUCAUUGAAAUCCAUCCCUUAACUUGUUGGCGUGUGAGGUUUUGGUCCCUCGAGUCAUUUGAAUGAUUACGUAGCAUAGUGACGUGUAUGUAUUUUAUGAUGUGUUAUUUUUAGUCUAAAAUUUCAGUUCAAAUAUUUUGUGUGCUUUCUCCUUUGUGACAAUUUUAAGCACUUAAAAAUCAAGUCUUUAACCAUAAAAUUUUCCAUCUAUUUUCUCAACUUCUCUCCAAAUUUUCUUUUUAAGACUUUAUCACUAAUUGCAUAUUCAAUUAAACAUCAUUUUUAAGACAAGUUUUAGAAUAAAAAUAUUCUCCUUUUCCAUGCAUAGUCUCGCUCAUACAUUCCUAACUAUCAUGAUUGAUUAUCUUUAAAAUCAACUAACAGAAGGUAAAUCUAUGAUGAAAAAUAAUUCAAAGUUUAAAAACAAGACUUUAAUCAUUAAGAAAUUUCACAAGACUUAAACUUUAAGGAAUCAAAUUAGAGGUCUAGUAUGCUUUUGCAAAAUCGAAUAAGAAACCUCACUCUAUAUUGGAAUAGGCUUUUGCAAAAUCCAGUUUAACAAAAUGCCACCUUCAUCCAUUUUCUUCAACAAAUCAACUAUUUCAUUUGCUUUAUACAAUGCAAUUAGCUAUUUGCCUCUUUCUUUUUAUCUUGUUAUUGCUUCUUUUUGUUUCUUUAUGCUUUUGUGAGAUACUAUAUUCUUGACUCAUAGUUUUUUUUUUUUUUUUUGAAAUAAGAAUGAACUUUCAAUAAUACGGGAAAUCAGAACAAGCUACAUCCAUGAUGUUUGGAGGGACAUACCCCAUCGAAAUUGAAUCAGAAGAAGAACAAGCUAUAUUAGCAAGAAAAUGAGCAAGGUUAUUCUGUGUUCUAAAAACAUGAGAAACAGAAAAAAAACUCAAAACCAGAAACUAAGCUACAGCAAUCAUCAAUGAUAAGUUGGAGAUCUGGGGAAAGCUGUCCAGCCCGAAAACCACGCGCAACAACAAGGGAAUCUGUCUCAGCCAGAACUCUGGUAAAACCAUGAUGCACCAUGAGUGUGAAUGCCCACCUCAAAGCCAAGGCUUCAGCCAUAGAAAUACUUACCUCAACCUUACAUCUACUGCAAGCAGCCAUAACCACCAAACCAGUAUGAUCCCUAAGGACACACCCCAUACCGAGCCACCCUUCCUUGAUGCUGGCAUCAACAUUUAAUUUGAGUUUCCCUACAUCUGGAGGCUGCCAUCUUCUCAACUCUUUGGGUUUCUUCUGCCUUAUGUGCCCCUCAUUCCUUGAAAUGAACUCUCUAUCAAAAAGAGAAGCAACCUGAAAAGCUCUUACAGGAUCAGCAACCUUUCCUGAAAAACAUAAGUCAUUCCGAGCCUUCCAAAUGGACCAUAACACAUGACAAAUCAAGGACAAGUGGUCACAAUCAUUCAACCCCAACAGAUUUUGAAACCAAGAAACCACCUCAGCCGAAUUGAGAACACAGUGGGAUAAACCCGACCCAAACCAUACAGCCCUGGAAAAUUCACACUCAAGAAACAAAUGAUGCAAUGACUCAGAAGCACCACAACAAAGGGGACAAACAAUAUCCAGAGCAAUACCUUUUUUCACAAGAUUUUCCCUAGUAGGCAAAAUCCUAUUCAUCAAUUUCCAGAGAAAAAUUCUGAUUUUAUGAGGAACAUCAACCUUCCACAAAUCAUUCCAAGUUGAACAAGGAAGAAAAGAACUAGAAGCACCAGGGCCAGAACUUGAACAUGAACUGAGCAUUUGAUAGGCAGAUUUAACAGUGUAAUUCCCAUCAUUGGACCAAUGCCAAGCAAACUUGUCUUCAGGGAGCCUAAUCGAAAGAGGAAUUGAUAGAAUCUUAUCAGCCUCAAAACCCAUAAAGGAGGACUUAAUUAAGUCCUCAUUCCACCUUUUCUGCUCAAAAUCGAUAAGCAUACUGACCUUAGCAUCCUUAGGCAGAUCAAUUGCAGGACUCCAGACCUUAAACCCUGACUGAUUAGGCAACCAACCAUCCUGGAAAACUCUGACAGAUUUACCAUUCCCAAUAGUCCACCUAGAGCCUUUAGAAAUCACAUGCCUCGCAGCUAGAAUACUCCUCCAAGAAAAACUAGGAAGAUACCCCAACUUAGCAUCCAUAAAAGAAGUCCUUGGGUGGUAUCUACUCUUAAAAAUCUGAGCAACCAAAGAAUCAGCCCUGUUAAUCAGCCUCCAACAUUGCUUACCGAGUAUUGCAUCAUUAAAUUUUCUAAGGCACCUAAACCCCAAACCUCCAACAGCCUUUGAUCUCUUAAGCCUUUCCCAACUCAUCCAAUGAAUUCCUUUAUCCUUAGAAUUAUUUCCCCACCAAAACCUAGCCAUCAUACUCUCCAUAGCUGAAACACACCCUUCAGGAAGCUUAAAACAGCUCAUCACAUAGGUGGGAAUCGCUUGCGCAACAGACUUCAAUAAAACCUCCUUGCCCGCACUUGAUAAAUGCCUCUCCUUCCACCCCUUUAACCUCUUCCAUAUCCUAUCCUAGACUAGAGAGAACACCACUUUCUUUGAUCUCCCAAAAACAGUGGGAAGACCAAGAUAUCUAGAAUGAGAUUGAACAGUCUUGACACCCAUCCUUUGCUGGAUUGCAUUUCUAACAUCUACCGGCACAUUAUGACUGAAAGAAAUCUCAGAUUUAUCUAGAUUCACCAACUGUCCCGAUGCUCUCUGAUAAUCAUCAAGGAUGCUCAAAACAGAAUCAGCCUCUUUGAGAGAAGCACGAGCAAAAAGCAGACUGUCAUCAGCAAAUAGGAGGUGUGAAAUCACCGGGGCACCUCUUGCAAUCCUCAAUCCAUGAAUCUGCUGGUCUCUCAUCCUGGAAUUGAUUAAACAAGACAAGGCAUUAUCACAUUGGAUAAAGAGAUAGGGGAAAUCGGAUCCCCUUGUCUCAACCCUCUAGAGGGAACAAUUUUGCUGCUUGGAAAACCAUUGAACAGAAUUUGAUAAGACACCGAGGAUACACAAUCUAUGACCAGCUUAGUAAACCUGCUAGGGAACCCCAUAUGGACCAAAACACCCUUGAGAAAGCUCCACUCCAUCCUAUCAUAUGCCUUUGCCAUGUCGAGCUUCAAAGCCAUCAUUCCUUUUUUCCCUUUUUUCUUCUUCUUCUGUAAGAUCAAGUUUUGAUCUAGUAGUACAACUCUAUGUUUUGAUGAUUACAAGUUAACCUUUUGAUAUGAAUAAUUAUGGUACUCUAACGUGUUUUUCUGAGUGUGCUAUUUACAGGCUCUGACCUUGAUUCAGUCUCACAUAAAUCAGAAGCACUGUGCAUAAAGAGUGACCCAAGCAACGCUUUCGCAACAUCUAUGUUCACUCUGAACAGUAGAAAUGCUUCAGAAGAUCUGAAGUUAUACAAACUCUGAUAUGGACUCAGCCACCAGAAGUUCUGAAGAUCCAGAAGUUCUGACAACCAAGAAACUCUGAAGGUUCAGAUGUUCUGAUGGUGUAGAAGACUCUGAAGAUUCAGAAGCUGAACAGUGGAAACUCUGAUGUCCAGAAGCAAGAAACUCUAAAGACCAUGUACUUCCCUCUGAGUCCAGAAUCAGAAGAUACAACGGUCAGAGGAUCUGUGCUUUCCCUCUGACUCUGAUCAACCGGCUUCACAAGUUCCAACAUGAAGCAUUCCCCUGAUCAGAAGUCUCCUAGGUUUAAAGGUCAAGUCGCUAUCCAAGUACAAAAGCAAAUUGUACUAUCCUGACGACCUACCUAACAUCCUCAGCCACAGCAGAAGCUGGAAUUUCCAGAACUUCCCUCCAACGGUAGCAUUUCCAUGCAACGUUCAACCCUAAUCCUUGGAGUAUAAAUAGAGGCUGAAGAUUGAAAGAAGCGGCUAGAAGCAUUCAUACACGCGCAAGAAAUAUUCAAAUCCUUCUAAGCUUUCUUUCAUCUUGAAUUUCAUUGUGUUUACUAUAAGCUUUUUAGAAGCACCUUCUUUGUAGACAAGAACUUCAUAUACAGUUGUAUAGUUUGCCUUUAGGAGAUCAAGGUUGAUCGGAUCCUUGAGAAGACUAAGAGAGUGAAUCUUAGUGUGAGCUAAGUCAGUGUAUUGUUAGUCACUUGUAGGUUUCAAGUGCAGUUGUAACACAUACCUGAUUAGUGGAUUGCCUUCAUUCUAAGAAGGAAGAAAUCACCUUAACGGGUGGACUGGAUUAGCUUGAGUGAUUUAUCAAGUGAACCAGGAUAAAAUCCUUGUGUGCUUUUCUAUCUCUUAUCUUUAGCACAUAGUUUGUUUCGAAAGAUUUGCCAAAAUCUUUAAGGUGGAAGUUUUAUCUUGAAAACGUUAUUCAAACCCCCCCCCCCUUCUACCGUUUUUCAUACCUUCAUCUUCAACCAAUGGAAACACUCAAGGGUAAUCAAAGCAUUAUCGGUAAUGAGCCUACCCGGAAUAAAUGCACUUUGAGCUGGAUCAAUAAUCUUCGGCAACACCCCUUUGAUCCUAUUAGCCAUUGCUUUAGUGACUAUCUUCAUAACAACGUUGCACAAACUAAUGGGCCUAAACUCCUUCGGGAUGGAUGGCUUCUUACACUUAGGAAUAAGGGUAAUGAAAGUGGAAUUAAUACUUUCCGGACUCAAACCCUCAUUCAGAACAGCCAACACAUGCUUAACAACCGACGCACCAACAAUGUGCCAAUACUCUUGGAAGAACUUUGCUGGGAGACCAUCAGGCCCAGGGGCCUUGAGAGGAUGCAUUUGGAAUAUGGCCUUAACAACUUCAUCCUCCUGAAAAUCACUAUCAAUCAAAUCCACAUCCUGCUGCUCCAACUUGGUGUCAAUGGCCCUGCAAAUGUCAGGGGGUUCCUCCACCAUUUGGGAAGUGAAAAUAGAUGAGAAAUAACUGUUCAGAAUAGCAGAAACGUUCUCAGGCUUGUUGUACCACACACCAUCCUCUCCUUUCAGCUUUUUAAUGCUAUUCACCGCCUGCCUUUGAUUUGCUUUAGCAUGAAAAAACCCAGUAUUCCUGUCCCCAUCUUUUAACCACAUAGCUCUGCUCCGUUGCCUCCACAUAGUCUCUUCAAGCUGCAAAAGCAGCGAGUGUUCUUCUACCAUCUCCUUAAAUUUCGCCAGAUUUUCAGGUUUAUCAUCCCAAGAAGCAUCCUUCUGCAACUCACCCUCUAGAAAAAUGAUUCUCUUUCUGAAAUUUCCCACAGUGUAACCUCGAAAGGUAUUCUUAAGACCUUGAAUACUACCAAGCUUCUUAACAAAAUCAUCUCUUUGCCCAAUCCAAGCAUGGAAGAUCUCCUCCUCGCACCUUGGAUCCAAACACCACACCUCUUCAAACCUAAAAGGACGUUGUUGUCUUCUCAUAGGGACAUCCAUAAACUUCUCAAUGGAGACAGAAAUAACUGCAUGAUCUGAACCAUAUCUUCCCAAGUGCUGCACAGAACUAGCAGGAAAAAUCUGAGAAAAUACCUCAGUACAUAAAGCUCUGUCCAGCCUAGCCUGAAUAUUUGCAUCACCUGAUAUGCCAUUAGUCCACGUGAGAGGAUAGCCACUAAAGCCCAAAUCAACUAGCCCAAGAUCAUCCAUAACAUCCCUUCCCCUCUGCAACUGAGAAUCAGACCGCGAAAUACCACCUUUCUUCUCAUUGUUCGAGAUAACAUCAUUCAAGUCCCCAACCCCAAGCCACCUCAACCCCCCCCCCUCCUGAACUAGAGACCUGAUUAGAGACCAAGUCCUCUCCCUCAGCCUCGUACACGGGUAGCCAUAAAUCCCAGAAAAACACCAAGGGUCUUCAUCCUCAACUACAGAAACAGAGAUAUGAUUGUUUGAAAAAGAAAUGAGAGAAACAUUCAAAGAUUCAGACCACCACAAAGCUAGCCCCCAUUUUCUCCCCUUGCCAUUAUCAACACAAUCCACAACCAAAAAAUUCUUAAGACCAAAGUCCAACCUUAUUUUUUCAAUUUCAAACUUUUUCAACCUGGUUUCCAUCAAGAAAACCAAUUGAGGAAUCUCUUUUCUUACGAGCCUUUGCAAGGCCCUAACUUCCUGGGGACUCCCCAAACCCCGGCGGUUCCAGCUAAGGAGUUUCAUGGCUGUAGGCAAUGUUGGUCUCCCAACAUCGCCUCUAAAUGAGCAUCAGCCAUAUCCACAUCCAUCAUCAAUUUCUUGCUUAAGUGACCCCGAAAAGUCUCAUCAUCCACUUCCACAAUAUCCACAUCAAUCAGGCUUCUCUUCUUAUCUAAACAAGAGAGGACUUUGCAAUUGUCACAGCAGCCCUACUAGCAUCAAGUCUCUUCCAACCUCUCUCGGUAGUCACCUUCUUUUCACUAGAGCUCCCAACACAAAAAGAUAGCUCAGCCACAGGAGCACAAUUUUCCUUAACCUCAGAAUCUGAGCCCUGCUUUAGAACAACAUUACCAAGUGCCUCAAGCACAUCAUCCACUUGUUGGACCACCAUACCACACUCAACAGCAGAAUUUUCAGGGGAAACAUUUGUGAUAUCAGAUAGAACAUGACUAGACAUCCCACCCACAAGAAACUCCUUAGCAGGCCCAACAGAAACAACACUUGGGGCCUUAGCAUCAGCAGCAAGUUCACCUAUACUUCUUUCAGAAACAGGAACCACAGUAGAGUUCUCAAGAUCAGCAAAAGGAACUCUAUCAGCAGACACACCAGAAUUCUUAGUAUCUGAAGACACCUUAUCAACCAACAAGCACAAAUCAUUUUUCCUUUGAACAUCCUUAUGCCUGGUUACCACCUUGGAACCACCACAGCCAAACCUAACCACACCAACAUCAUCAGAACGACCCACGGAUCCCUCACCAGCCCUCCCCACACCAUCAAUAGCAGAACGAAAUAGGGACUCACAACCUUUAGACUUCAUAGGAUGAGCAACAUCCUCACCAAAAGGGGAAGCCCUCAACCAUGGCCCAAAAGGAAAGUCCACAGCAUCAUGAUCCUCCUCAACAUCCUCAAAUUCAUUACAAUCCUUGAUCUGAUGGCCUAUUCUUCCGCAAGCAAAGCAAAAAUUAGGAAGCCUCUCAUAUCUGAAAUAAACCUUAAGCUCCUUCCCUUGCCAAAACAACAUCGUACCCCUGAGAAGAGGCUUGGUAAGAUCAAUGGUAACCUUAAUCCUGAAGAAGAGGCCCAAACGGUUCUCAAGCUUACAAUCAACCUCCACAAAGCUACCAAUUGAAUCCCCCAACCUCCUGGCAACUGCUUCAGACUUCAAUUUCAGAGGGAGAUCAUAAACCCUCACCCACAUAUCCACAGAGGAGAGCUCAAUUUUAGAUGGCUGAUCUUCAUCACUGAAUUUCUUAAGCACCAAUAUACUACGAUCGAAACUCCAUGGACCCCCUUGGAUCACAGAUAUGAGAUCCUUUGAUGUAGCAAAUUGAAACAAGUACCGAUUCUUGGAGAUCUCAUUGAUUUCGACUGGAUGUCGCCACGCCGCCUUCAUAGUGUUCAUGAACGCCCUAACAUUGUGCGAACCUUCAGACCACAACUUCCCAGCCAGCAACCGAGAGGUAAGAUCAUCAUCUCUACACUCAUCCUCAUCGAUUGUAACACUGCUCUGGAUCUCAGAAGCAUUGAGAUCGAAAUUCCGAUGCAUCGUAGAACACAGGGAAACAAGGAGAAAACUACGAAGAGAGAAAAAACAGGAAAGAGACAGAGAAUCAAGGAGCGAACCAGAGAAUCAGAGAGCAAGAUGAAGAAGAAGAGCCUAGGGAGACCUAGGAGAAGACCACCAAGUCGGUGGAGAUCUUGACUCAUAGUUUGGUCUAGCCCUUACUGUAAUAUAAUUCUCUUUUAAUAUAGAGUUUGGGCUAGCUCUUUUAAUAUAAUUCUCUUUUUGGUUUUCCGAAAAAAAAAAGUGAAGGUAAAUUGGCCUCCAGAACCUUUAAGAUAAGCUUCUAUUCACUCCCAAUCAAACUGAUGGGCCUGAAGUCAAGCAUAGAUUGUGGAUAUUACGUUUCAGGAUUGCAGAGAUGAAAGGAGCAUUUAAAACCCUUACAAUUUUCCAAGACUCAUGGAAUUCAUGGAAGAAUUUGACCUCAUUAUUGAGAUUGAGAUUGAAUUUGUCCGGGCCGAAGCUUGAUUUCCAUCACGAUUUUUAUCACUCCCCAAAGUUUCAAAUUCUGAAAAGUUUGCUUCUAAACGAGCCUUAUCCCUGUGACUUAUCUUUGAAAGUUUGAGCAUCUGAGCUUGCAAUUGGGUCGCACCUUAUUUUCCCUUGAAAAAAAGGUUCUAAAUGAUUGAAAAUGGCCACCUCUGUUCAAAAAAAAGAAAAUGGCCACCUUAAUCGAUGUUGGAUCCUCAAUGUAUACCUCACCUACGUUCAAUUUCACUAUUCUUUUCUUUGCUUUCCUUCCUUCAACUAGCGUAUCCUAGCUUUUUGCCUCCACUUUUCAAAUCGUCACAACUCAACGACAUAAUUUAUCUGUCGCAACAUUCGGAACAGACUAUUACAUUUUUAUUUACGUCGUAUCAAAUAUUAUUAUUUCUGUAACCAACGGCGUCGCAAAAUUCAGGACGAAGCAUGAUAGUUUUAAUUCCGUCAUAACAAAAAAACAUUAUUUCUGUCAUCCAAUCGGUCGUAAAAAAAAUUUCUUCAAAAAUAUAAGUAUAUUCCGUCCCAAAAAAUUGAUUUCUUCCAUCGCACAUUAAUUAUUAAUUAAAUGAAUACUAUAAUUCAAUAUAUUAUGUCCUUAUUUCUGUCCCAAAAGCGCGACGAAGAAACAUUCUGUUCUAAAAACUUUGCGACGCACAAAAUCGCGAUGAAAUGUUUCAGUCGCACAUCCGUCCCAAAAUCAUUUAAGAAUAGAAAUUUUAACAAUCGUGUGACGAGGGCGGCGAUGUUCAACUUGAUUCCAGAGGAUUGGGGUGGUCACGUCACGCCUUGGGUCUCAGAGAUCAAACAGUACUUCAAUCGCCUCAAGAGUCUCCACUUUCGCCGAAUGAUUGUCACCAACUCCAGCAAGGAAACUCAUCCUUUUGGUACGAGAACUGGUUGGAAACUGGGGUCCUUUGUUCAUAAGUGCCUUUUGUGCACAUAAGUGACACAGCGUUGGCAGUUCGCGAUGUGUGAAAGACAAUGGCUGGAAGUUUGACUGUUUGUACACGGUGCUUCCAUCAGAGCUGAAGAAUAGGGUUCAAUCAACUGUAGGGCCAACGGGCGUGGAGCAUGUAGAUGCUUGGCGUUGGAAUGAGGAGCCUGAUGGUCAUUACACGUCCAGAUCCGCCUAUGCUUGGCUCAACCAUCGGGACAAUGAGGAGGGUGAACACCAGGUUUGGAUGCAACUGUUGAAAUUGAGGAUUCCGGGAAAAUGCAAAUUUAUGAUUUGGCUUGCGCUGCACCAAUCUUUGCCUGUGAAUGUGCACUGGCAUGCUUGCUCUCUUGCCACCAGCGCUGCGUGUGGUAGAUGCUCUACCCCAACGGAGGACAUUCUUCACUGUCUUCGUGAUUGUCCACACUCGAUGGAAGUUUGGACCAGGUUAGGCUAUGGAACCUUUGUGGGCUUCUUCUCACAAGACUCUUGGUCAUGGAUCCUGGCUAUUUUACGACAAGAAGAUACAGGGCGAAUUUUGUAUAUUUGAUGGUGGAUAUGGCGUUGGAGGAACAAUAUGGUGCUAGGGACAGAGAGAUGGGAAAUUGAAUAGGUGAUUUGCAAUGUGUGGCAGGACUCGAAAGACUCUAUGCUUGACACUGUCGUGGUGCACCAGUUCAGCACAAACAAAUCUUCUUGGGAGGCUCCUGAAAUAGGUUAGGUGAAGGUAAACGUUGAUGGUAGCCACCAUCGAGCAUCCUCUGGAAUAGCCUGCGGUGGUUUGAUUCAGGAUCACCAUGGAAAAUGGCUUCAAGGUUUUUCUGGUUUUGAAGGCCAGGGGGACGUGUACAUGGCAGAGCUUCUCGGAGUUCUCAGAGGCCUUCAGCUAGCGUGGCAUCAUGGUUACAGGAAGGUAGUUUGUGAAUCAGAUUCUUUGAGUGUGGUGCAAACCUUGUCGACAGGCAAAUCAGUAAACCUCCAUUCUUGUGCGGUGCUCUUGACAGAAAUUCAUUGUAUGCUUCUGGAGGAUUGGGAGGUGAUUUUCAAGCAUGUCUUGCGGGAUAAAAACAACGAAGCUGACACUCUAGAAAAGCUUGGCUUAGAGAAGAAGUGGAGGCUCACAACCUGGAAUUCCCCUCCCACUGAGCAUGUUCAGUUGGGAGGUCUAGUCUAAUUGUUUUUUCUUUUGUCUUUAUUUUCAUAAUCUACAAAAAAAAAAAACAUCAUAAUGUGAAUAUUUCCGCUCCUAUGAAUAAUGGAGUAUUAAUGGCACAAGUAACUUACUCGAAUUUUUGUAAUUUAGUUACUCUAAUAUGAAUGAUACAAAUGGUGGAUUUAUUUAUUUCCACUCUUCCCGCUUACCUCUAUAUCACUUUUGGUUCUUGCUUAAUGUUUCCACCGUUUCUACGGUAAACCUUUUAUGGAUUUAACAUUUGCUUUAUUGGUUAAUUUGUCCUUUUAAUGCAUUGAACAUUGGCUUUAUGGUUUGUAUCUGAAAGACUGAAACACAUUGAAAACCAAAAGGUUCCUUCUUUUGAAAUGGUUGCAUCUUUUAUAAAAGGAUAUCCAUGUUGAGUCGGAGAAGAUUUUGGAUUUUUCCAAUUAAGCAAGAUUUCAACAUGUAUAAAUUCUGAGUGUACAAUAUCUUGUAUGUGGCUAUGUUAUUGGAGAACAAACCUAACAUUAGAUUGCACUGGAGGUUUACCAUACUUUUACUUUCAAAAUAGUGAUUCGUCCACGGCGCAACUUUCCUCUUAUCUUCCAACAGAUGACACAUGUAAGAAUUGAAAUAGAACGCAAUUGUUUUUUCAAUCAAUUUUUUUUAUUGUUAUAGUUUUAAUAGAGCACAUGAAUAAAUUUAAAAUUUGACGAUUUAAUAAUAUCUAAUUAAUAUAUGUAAAUUCUGUGGCAUAGGUUAAUUUACUAGUUUUUAAAUAUAAGAAAGUAAUACACAAUUACAAGUGGCAUAGAUUUAAGAAAGUUCCAAUACCAUUUGAGGAGUUAAAUAAUUACGUUGAUGAAAAAAACAUAUACAAACUUAUUGUAGAUGGAUGGUUAGGCACUUGAUAAUCUCCUCUGGUUAGUUUUGUUCAAAAUAUAAGCAUUCUAACAAUAGCCAACGGGAAUGAGUUUCACAAGGAAAACGGGAAGAUGUAAGAGGAAGUACGCAUUCCAAGGAGCACCAGGAAAGGGAAGUGAGAGAUGAUAGCGGAGAGUUUGAGUGGUCAAGAGAUAGCAAUCCAAAUAUAUAUAAUAUGGUAAGAGGAUACGGAUGGUGUAAUGCUCUCUUCACACUAUAAAAUAGCAAAACGUCAUUGCUAGAAACAAAAGUACAAAUUUAAGGAGAAAAAGAAGAAGAUUAAGGAAAUGGACAUGGUACAAUUUUUGCUUUUGCUAUGCCUCUUAGUGGGGAUAACCUCAACGGUGCAUGGUGAAGACCCUUACUUCUAUUUCACAUGGAAAGUCACAUAUGGCACACUUUCCCCGGCGGGUGUCCCUCAACAGGUUAUUCUUAUCAAUGGUGAAUUUCCUGGACCCAACAUCAACUCGACCAGUAAUAACAACCUUGUUGUAAACGUCUUCAACCAACUUGAUGAGCCUCUCCUUUUCACAUGGUCUAGUACUUUCUCUAUUUUAUUAUGAACAAUUAAGAUUAAGAGUACCAAAACGGAAAAAUAUCACAUAAGCAUAUGAAUAACUUUGCUUUGCAGGGCGGGAGUCCAACAAAGGAAAAACUCAUGGCAAGAUGGGGUACCUGGAACUAACUGUCCCAUUGCUCCAGGAACAAACUGGACCUACAAGUUCCAGGUGAAGGACCAAAUAGGAAGCUACUUCUACUACCCAAGCUUGGGCUUGCAUAGGGCAGCUGGUGGAUUCGGUGGCCUACGCAUAAACAGUAGGUUACUUAUCCCUGUCCCCUAUGCAGAUCCUGAAGACGAUUACACUGUCCUCGUUGGCGACUGGUACACCAAGAGCCACUCUGCUCUCAAGAAAUUACUUGACAGCGGUCGCGCUCUUGGCAGGCCCCAAGCUGUUCUCAUCAACGGCCAAAAUGCCAAAGGAGACGGAACCGACAAGCCACUAUUCACAAUGAAGCCAGGAAAAACCUACAAAUAUAGAAUCUGCAAUGUGGGUCUGAAAAACUCCAUCAACUUCAGGGUCCAGCAACACUCCAUGUUACUCGUUGAAUUGGAAGGUUCCCACACCGUGCAAAACAGUUACGACUCACUUGACGUCCACGUCGGGCAGUGCUUUGGUGUCCUCAUAACUGCUGAUAAGGAACCGAAGGACUACUACAUGGUUGCCUCGACCAGGUUCACGAAAACUGUUUUGACCGGCAAAGGGAUCAUCCGCUAUACCAAUGGAAAGGGACCAGCUUCACCUGAACUCCCUGAGGCCCCUGUGGGCUGGGCCUGGUCUCUGAACCAGUACCGUUCCUUCCGUUGGAACCUCACUGCCAGCGCUGCCAGGCCUAACCCCCAGGGCUCUUACCAUUACGGCCAGAUAAACAUCACCCGCACUGUUAAGCUAAUUAACUCUGUCAGCAGGGACAAUGGGAAGCUCCGUUACGCGCUUAACGGAGUCUCCCACGUUGACCCAGAAACACCCAUCAAGCUCGCUGAGUAUUAUGGGAUUGGUGAGAAAUUUUUCAAGUACGACACCAUUCCAGAUAGCCCGCAAGGCCUUUCAAAUGCUGUCACCUUGCAAACCAAUGUUCUUAACUUCACCCAUCGCACCUUCAUCGAGAUCAUCUUCGAGAACCACGAAAAAAGUGUCCAGUCGUAUAAUUUGGCCGGCUACUCAUUCUUCUAUGUCGCG
This 41662-nucleotide long non-coding RNA is filed under the name Lotus japonicus. RNAcentral describes it as "long non-coding RNA (LJAP_LNC001783)". Lineage: Eukaryota; Viridiplantae; Streptophyta; Magnoliopsida; Fabales; Fabaceae. The record is from RNAcentral.